GGUAAGGUGGCUGAGUGUUUAAGCGGUGGAUUGUAGCUCCACAAACAGAGGUUCAAACCCUCUCCGUACCA
RNAcentral lists this transfer RNA (71 nucleotides) under Omosudis lowii (hammerjaw). RNAcentral describes it as "tRNA-Tyr". It matches the Rfam family "tRNA". Rfam says of the family: Transfer RNA (tRNA) molecules are approximately 80 nucleotides in length. Their secondary structure includes four short double-helical elements and three loops (D, anti-codon, and T loops). Further hydrogen bonds mediate the characteristic L-shaped molecular structure. tRNAs have two regions of fundamental functional importance: the anti-codon, which is responsible for specific mRNA codon recognition, and the 3' end, to which the tRNAs corresponding amino acid is attached (by aminoacyl-tRNA synthetases). tRNAs cope with the degeneracy of the genetic code in two manners: having more than one tRNA (with a specific anti-codon) for a particular amino acid; and 'wobble' base-pairing, i.e. permitting non-standard base-pairing at the 3rd anti-codon position. Lineage: Eukaryota; Metazoa; Chordata; Actinopteri; Aulopiformes; Alepisauridae. The record is from RNAcentral.